Molecule: ribosomal RNA, 314 nt
Filed under: uncultured Bacillota bacterium
Lineage: Bacteria; Bacillati; Bacillota
Description: bacterial SSU rRNA
Rfam family: Bacterial small subunit ribosomal RNA
Source: RNAcentral
GACGAACGCUGGCGGCGUGCUUAACACAUGCAAGUCGAGCGGGGAACUUCGGUUCUCAGCGGCGGACGGGUGAGUAACACGUGGGUAACCUGCCUUACAGUGGGGAAUAGCCUUCCGAAAGGAAGAUUAAUACCGCAUAAUACUCAGAGAUCACAUGGUCUUUGAGCCAAAGGAAUUUAUUUCGCUGUAAGAUGGACCCGCGGCGCAUUAGCUUGUUGGUGAGGUAACGGCUCACCAAGGCUUCGAUGCGUAGCCGACCUGAGAGGGUGAUCGGCCACAUUGGAACUGAGACACGGUCCAGACUCCUACGGGUG